AUGGGAACGCGAAGAACCUUACCUAGACUUGACAUCUUCUGCAUUAAUCGUAAUGGAUGAAAUCCCUUCGGGGACAGAAUGACAGGUGGUGCAUGGUUGUCGUCAGCUCGUGUCGUGAGAUGUUGGGUUAAGUCCCGCAACGAGCGCAACCCCUAUUAUUAGUUGCUAACAUUAAGUUGAGCACUCUAGUGAGACUGCCCGGGUUAACCGGGAGGAAGGUGGGGAGUGACGUCAAAUACAUCAUGCCCCUUACUGUCUAGGGCAACACACGUGCUACAAUGGUGAGUACAGAUAGAUGCGAUACCGCAAGGUGGAGCCAAACUACUAAAACUCAUCCCAGUUCGGAUUGUAGGCUGCAACUCGCCUACAUGAAGUUGGAGUUGCUAGUAAUCGCGAAUCAGAAUGUCGCGGUGAAUACGUUCCCGGGUCUUGUACACACCG
Molecule: ribosomal RNA, 441 nt
Filed under: uncultured bacterium
Lineage: Bacteria
Description: bacterial SSU rRNA
Rfam family: Bacterial small subunit ribosomal RNA
Source: RNAcentral